UAGGGAAUCUUCCGCAAUGGGCGAAAGCCUGACGGAGCAACGCCGCGUGAGUGAUGAAGGUCUUCGGAUCGUAAAACUCUGUUAUUAGGGAAGAACAAAUGUGUAAGUAACUAUGCAGGUCUUGACGGUACCUAAUCAGAAAGCCACGGCUAACUACGUGCCAGCAGCCGCGGUAAUACGUAGGUGGCAAGCGUUAUCCGGAAUUAUUGGGCGUAAAGCGCGCGUAGGCGGUUUUUUAAGUCUGAUGUGAAAGCCCACGGCUCAACCGUGGAGGGUCAUUGGAAACUGGAAAACUUGAGUGCAGAAGAGGAAAGUGGAAUUCCAUGUGUAGCGGUGAAAUGCGCAGAGAUAUGGAGGAACACCAGUGGCGAAGGCGACUUUCUGGUCUGUAACUGACGCUGAUGUGCGAAGGCGUGGGGAUCAAACAGG
Molecule: ribosomal RNA, 429 nt
Filed under: Actinomycetes bacterium
Lineage: Bacteria; Bacillati; Actinomycetota; Actinomycetes
Description: Actinobacteria bacterium partial 16S ribosomal RNA
Rfam family: Bacterial small subunit ribosomal RNA
Source: RNAcentral